This 441-nucleotide ribosomal RNA is filed under the name uncultured bacterium. RNAcentral's name for it is "partial 16S ribosomal RNA". It matches the Rfam family "Bacterial small subunit ribosomal RNA", at positions 338 to 795 of the family's 1533-position model. The record is from RNAcentral.
CCUACGGUGGGCUGCAGUGAGGAAUAUUGGUCAAUGGGCGCGAGCCUGAACCAGCCAAGUCGCGUGAGGGGAGACGGUCCUCUGGAUUGUAAACCACUGUUCUUGGUGAAGAUAAUGACGGUAACCAAGGAGAAAGCUCCGGCUAACUUCGUGCCAGCAGCCGCGGUAAUACGUGGGCAGCAAGCGUUGUCCGGAUUUACUGGGUGUACAGGGUGCGUAGGUGGUCUUGCAAGUCAGACGUGAAAACCACAGGCUCAAUCUGUGGACUGCGUUUGAAACUGUGGGGCUUGAGUGAAGUAGAGGUAGGCGGAAUUCCCGGUGUAGCGGUGAAAUGCGUAGAGAUCGGGAGGAACACCAGUGGCGAAGGCGGCCGACUGGGCUUUAACUGACGCUGAGGCACGAAAGCAUGGGUAGCAAACAGGAUUAGAUACCCGUGUAGUC